RNAcentral lists this ribosomal RNA (855 nucleotides) under uncultured Lactobacillus sp. RNAcentral describes it as "bacterial SSU rRNA". It matches the Rfam family "Bacterial small subunit ribosomal RNA", at positions 656 to 1512 of the family's 1533-position model. The record is from RNAcentral. Lineage: Bacteria; Bacillati; Bacillota; Bacilli; Lactobacillales; Lactobacillaceae.
GGACAGUGGAACUCCAUGUGUAGCGGUGGAAUGCGUAGAUAUAUGGAAGAACACCAGUGGCGAAGGCGGCUGUCUAGUCUGUAACUGACGCUGAGGCUCGAAAGCAUGGGUAGCGAACAGGAUUAGAUACCCUGGUAGUCCAUGCCGUAAACGAUGAGUGCUAAGUGUUGGAGGGUUUCCCCCUUCAGUGCUGCGGCUAACGCAUUAAGCACUCCGCCUGGGGAGUACGACCGCAAGGUUGAAACUCAAAGGAAUUGACGGGGGCCCGCACAAGCGGUGGAGCAUGUGGUUUAAUUCGAAGCUACGCGAAGAACCUUACCAGGUCUUGACAUCUUCUGCCAAUCUUAGAGAUAAGACGUUCCCUUCGGGGACAGAAUGACAGGUGGUGCAUGGUUGUCGUCAGCUCGUGUCGUGAGAUGUUGGGUUAAGUCCCGCAACGAGCGCAACCCUUAUUAUCAGUUGCCAGCAUUCAGUUGGGCACUCUGGUGAGACUGCCGGUGACAAACCGGAGGAAGGUGGGGAUGACGUCAAAUCAUCAUGCCCCUUAUGACCUGGGCUACACACGUGCUACAAUGGACGGUACAACGAGUCGCGAAGUCGUGAGGCUAAGCUAAUCUCUUAAAGCCGUUCUCAGUUCGGAUUGUAGGCUGCAACUCGCCUACAUGAAGUUGGAAUCGCUAGUAAUCGCGGAUCAGCAUGCCGCGGUGAAUACGUUCCCGGGCCUUGUACACACCGCCCGUCACACCAUGAGAGUUUGUAACACCCAAAGCCGGUGAGAUAACCUUCGGGAGUCAGCCGUCUAAGGUGGGACAGAUGAUUAGGGUGAAGUCGUAACAAGGUAACCAAGGGCGAAUC